Molecule: long non-coding RNA, 348 nt
Organism: Coturnix japonica (Japanese quail)
Lineage: Eukaryota; Metazoa; Chordata; Aves; Galliformes; Phasianidae
Source: RefSeq, a predicted model, not a curated record
AGUUGAGGGGCGGGCCUUCCAUGAGCUCCCAGCGUCCACCUGCCAUGGUGAUGUGGAGGCAGAGUCACAGAGGGUAGAACGGUGGAACCCCCCCUGCAGGUAUAUAAAGGGCAGUGCCAGUGAGCCGGCAGUGCCAGUGAGCCGGCAGCCCAGAGCAGAGCGGACAGCGGCAGAGCGAGCAGCAGCAGAGCAGGAGCUGAAGCCAGGGACACGGACACGGCUGGAACACGGCAUGCUCCUGGUGUCAGCCCUGCAGCUGUCAGUGCGUGAGGAGAGCGCUGCACCUCCGGCCCUCGCUGCUCUGUGACAGUCUCCGGGUCUGCCUCCCAAUAAAGCCUGAUUCGUGAA